UUUAUUGGAGAGUUUGAUCCUGGCUCAGGACGAACGCUGGCGGCGUGCCUAAUACAUGCAAGUCGAGCGGACUU
RNAcentral lists this ribosomal RNA (74 nucleotides) under Bacillus sp. B1-b2. RNAcentral's name for it is "partial 16S ribosomal RNA". It matches the Rfam family "Bacterial small subunit ribosomal RNA", at positions 1 to 73 of the family's 1533-position model. Lineage: Bacteria; Bacillati; Bacillota; Bacilli; Caryophanales; Bacillaceae. The record is from RNAcentral.